UCCGGUUUAACACCGGCAGUCUCCCUAGAGUGCCCAACUUAAUGCUGGCAACUAAGGACAGGGGUUGCGCUCGUUGCCGGACUUAACCGAACAUUUCACAACACGAGCUGACGACAGCCAUGCAGCACCUGUCUCCGUGUCCCCGAAGGGAAAACUACAUCUCUGCAGCGGUCACGGGAUGUCAAGAGUAGGUAAGGUUCUGCGCGUUGCUUCGAAUUAAACCACAUACUCCACCGCUUGUGCGGGCCCCCGUCAAUUCCUUUGAGUUUUAGCCUUGCGACCGUACUCCCCAGGCGGGAUACUUAAUGUGUGAACUGCGGCACUCAAUGGGUUAAUCCAUCGAACGCCUAGUAUCCAUCGUUUACGGCGUGGACUAC
RNAcentral lists this unclassified non-coding RNA (377 nucleotides) under uncultured Oligoflexaceae bacterium. RNAcentral's name for it is "contains 16S-23S intergenic spacer region". Lineage: Bacteria; Pseudomonadati; Bdellovibrionota; Oligoflexia; Oligoflexales; Oligoflexaceae. The record is from RNAcentral.